GGGUUGUGAGGUUAAGCGACUAAGCGUACACGGUGGAUGCCCUGGCAGUCAGAGGCGAUGAAGGACGUGCUAAUCUGCGAUAAGCGUCGGUAAGGUGAUAUGAACCGUUAUAACCGGCGAUUUCCGAAUGGGGAAACCCAGUGUGUUUCGACACACUAUCAUUAACUGAAUCCAUAGGUUAAUGAGGCGAACCGGGGGAACUGAAACAUCUAAGUACCCCGAGGAAAAGAAAUCAACCGAGAUUCCCCCAGUAGCGGCGAGCGAACGGGGAGCAGCCCAGAGCCUGAAUCAGUGUGUGUGUUAGUGGAAGCGUCUGGAAAGGCGCGCGAUACAGGGUGACAGCCCCGUACACAAAAAUGCACAUGCUGUGAGCUCGAUGAGUAGGGCGGGACACGUGGUAUCCUGUCUGAAUAUGGGGGGACCAUCCUCCAAGGCUAAAUACUCCUGACUGACCGAUAGUGAACCAGUACCGUGAGGGAAAGGCGAAAAGAACCCCGGCGAGGGGAGUGAAAAAGAACCUGAAACCGUGUACGUACAAGCAGUGGGAGCACGCUUAGGCGUGUGACUGCGUACCUUUUGUAUAAUGGGUCAGCGACUUAUAUUCUGUAGCAAGGUUAACCGAAUAGGGGAGCCGAAGGGAAACCGAGUCUUAACUGGGCGUUAAGUUGCAGGGUAUAGACCCGAAACCCGGUGAUCUAGCCAUGGGCAGGUUGAAGGUUGGGUAACACUAACUGGAGGACCGAACCGACUAAUGUUGAAAAAUUAGCGGAUGACUUGUGGCUGGGGGUGAAAGGCCAAUCAAACCGGGAGAUAGCUGGUUCUCCCCGAAAGCUAUUUAGGUAGCGCCUCGUGAAUUCAUCUCCGGGGGUAGAGCACUGUUUCGGCAAGGGGGUCAUCCCGACUUACCAACCCGAUGCAAACUGCGAAUACCGGAGAAUGUUAUCACGGGAGACACACGGCGGGUGCUAACGUCCGUCGUGAAGAGGGAAACAACCCAGACCGCCAGCUAAGGUCCCAAAGUCAUGGUUAAGUGGGAAACGAUGUGGGAAGGCCCAGACAGCCAGGAUGUUGGCUUAGAAGCAGCCAUCAUUUAAAGAAAGCGUAAUAGCUCACUGGUCGAGUCGGCCUGCGCGUAAGAUGUAACGGGGCUAAACCAUGCACCGAAGCUGCGGCAGCGACGCUUAUGCGUUGUUGGGUAGGGGAGCGUUCUGUAAGCCUGCGAAGGUGUGCUGUGAGGCAUGCUGGAGGUAUCAGAAGUGCGAAUGCUGACAUAAGUAACGAUAAAGCGGGUGAAAAGCCCGCUCGCCGGAAGACCAAGGGUUCCUGUCCAACGUUAAUCGGGGCAGGGUGAGUCGACCCCUAAGGCGAGGCCGAAAGGCGUAGUCGAUGGGAAACAGGUUAAUAUUCCUGUACUUGGUGUUACUGCGAAGGGGGGACGGAGAAGGCUAUGUUGGCCGGGCGACGGUUGUCCCGGUUUAAGCGUGUAGGCUGGUUUUCCAGGCAAAUCCGGAAAAUCAAGGCUGAGGCGUGAUGACGAGGCACUACGGUGCUGAAGCAACAAAUGCCCUGCUUCCAGGAAAAGCCUCUAAGCAUCAGGUAACAUCAAAUCGUACCCCAAACCGACACAGGUGGUCAGGUAGAGAAUACCAAGGCGCUUGAGAGAACUCGGGUGAAGGAACUAGGCAAAAUGGUGCCGUAACUUCGGGAGAAGGCACGCUGAUAUGUAGGUGAAGUCCCUCGCGGAUGGAGCUGAAAUCAGUCGAAGAUACCAGCUGGCUGCAACUGUUUAUUAAAAACACAGCACUGUGCAAACACGAAAGUGGACGUAUACGGUGUGACGCCUGCCCGGUGCCGGAAGGUUAAUUGAUGGGGUUAGCGCAAGCGAAGCUCUUGAUCGAAGCCCCGGUAAACGGCGGCCGUAACUAUAACGGUCCUAAGGUAGCGAAAUUCCUUGUCGGGUAAGUUCCGACCUGCACGAAUGGCGUAAUGAUGGCCAGGCUGUCUCCACCCGAGACUCAGUGAAAUUGAACUCGCUGUGAAGAUGCAGUGUACCCGCGGCAAGACGGAAAGACCCCGUGAACCUUUACUAUAGCUUGACACUGAACAUUGAGCCUUGAUGUGUAGGAUAGGUGGGAGGCUUUGAAGUGUGGACGCCAGUCUGCAUGGAGCCGACCUUGAAAUACCACCCUUUAAUGUUUGAUGUUCUAACGUGGACCCGUAAUCCGGGUUGCGGACAGUGUCUGGUGGGUAGUUUGACUGGGGCGGUCUCCUCCUAAAGAGUAACGGAGGAGCACGAAGGUUGGCUAAUCCUGGUCGGACAUCAGGAGGUUAGUGCAAUGGCAUAAGCCAGCUUGACUGCGAGCGUGACGGCGCGAGCAGGUGCGAAAGCAGGUCAUAGUGAUCCGGUGGUUCUGAAUGGAAGGGCCAUCGCUCAACGGAUAAAAGGUACUCCGGGGAUAACAGGCUGAUACCGCCCAAGAGUUCAUAUCGACGGCGGUGUUUGGCACCUCGAUGUCGGCUCAUCACAUCCUGGGGCUGAAGUAGGUCCCAAGGGUAUGGCUGUUCGCCAUUUAAAGUGGUACGCGAGCUGGGUUUAGAACGUCGUGAGACAGUUCGGUCCCUAUCUGCCGUGGGCGCUGGAGAAUUGAGGGGGGCUGCUCCUAGUACGAGAGGACCGGAGUGGACGCAUCACUGGUGUUCGGGUUGUCAUGCCAAUGGCACUGCCCGGUAGCUAAAUGCGGAAGAGAUAAGUGCUGAAAGCAUCUAAGCACGAAACUUGCCCCGAGAUGAGUUCUCCCUGACUCCUUGAGAGUCCUGAAGGAACGUUGAAGACGACGACGUUGAUAGGCCGGGUGUGUAAGCGCAGCGAUGCGUUGAGCUAACCGGUACUAAUGAACCGUGAGGCUUAACCUUACAACGCCGAAG
RNAcentral lists this ribosomal RNA (2925 nucleotides) under Escherichia coli. Its description in RNAcentral is "bacterial LSU rRNA". It matches the Rfam family "Bacterial large subunit ribosomal RNA". Lineage: Bacteria; Pseudomonadati; Pseudomonadota; Gammaproteobacteria; Enterobacterales; Enterobacteriaceae. The record is from RNAcentral.